GAUGAACGCUGGCGGCGUGCCUAAUACAUGCCAGUCGAGCGAACAGAUGAGGAGCUUGCUCCUCUGACGUUAGCGGCGGACGGGUGAGUAACACGUGGAUAACCUACCUAUAAGACUGGGAUAACUACGGGAAACCGGAGCUAAUACCGGAUAAUAUAUUGAACCGCAUGGUUCAAUAGUGAAAGACGGUUUUGCUGACACUUAUAGAUGGAUCCGCGCCGCAUUAGCUAGUUGGUAAGGUAACGGCUUACCAAGGCAACGAUGCGUAGCCGACCUGAGAGGGUGAUCGGCCACACUGGAACUGAGACACGGUCCAGACUCCUACGGGAGGCAGCAGUAGGGAAUCUUCCGCAAUGGGCGAAAGCCUGACGGAGCAACGCCGCGUGAGUGAUGAAGGUCUUCGGAUCGUAAAACUCUGUUAUUAGGGAAGAACAAAUGUGUAAGUAACUAUGCACGUCUUGACGGUACCUAAUCAGAAAGCCACGGCUAACUACGUG
RNAcentral lists this ribosomal RNA (497 nucleotides) under uncultured bacterium. Its description in RNAcentral is "partial 16S ribosomal RNA". It matches the Rfam family "Bacterial small subunit ribosomal RNA", at positions 28 to 507 of the family's 1533-position model. The record is from RNAcentral.